CAGCAGCCGCGGGAAUACGAAGGGGGCUAGCGUUGUUCGGAAUUACUGGGCGUAAAGGGCGCGUAGGCGGCCAUUCAAGUUAGAUGUGAAAGCCCUGGGCUCAACCUAGGAAUUGCAUUUGAUACUGUUUGGCUUGAGUUCGGGAGAGGUGAGUGGAAUUCCCAGUGUAGAGGUGAAAUUCGUAGAUAUUGGGAAGAACACCAGUGGCGAAGGCGGCUCACUGGACCGACACUGACGCUGAGGCGCGAAGGCGUGGGGAGCAAACAGGAUUAGAUACCCGUGUAGUCCCUGUCUCUUAUAC
RNAcentral lists this ribosomal RNA (301 nucleotides) under uncultured bacterium. RNAcentral's name for it is "partial 16S ribosomal RNA". It matches the Rfam family "Bacterial small subunit ribosomal RNA", at positions 509 to 807 of the family's 1533-position model. The record is from RNAcentral.